UACGUAGGGUGCGAGCGUUGUCCGGAAUUAUUGGGCGUAAAGAGCUCGUAGGCGGUUUGUUGCGUCGGCUGUGAAAUCCCGAGGCUCAACCUCGGGUCUGCAGUCGAUACGAGCAGACUAGAGUGUUGCAGGGGAGACUGGAAUUCCUGGUGUAGCGGUGAAAUGCGCAGAUAUCAGGAAGAACACCAAUGGCGAAGGCAGCUCUCUGGGACGGUACUGACGCUGAGACGCGAAAGCGUGGGGAGCGAACAGG
RNAcentral lists this ribosomal RNA (253 nucleotides) under uncultured bacterium. Its description in RNAcentral is "partial 16S ribosomal RNA". It matches the Rfam family "Bacterial small subunit ribosomal RNA", at positions 524 to 776 of the family's 1533-position model. The record is from RNAcentral.